RNAcentral lists this ribosomal RNA (468 nucleotides) under uncultured bacterium. RNAcentral's name for it is "partial 16S ribosomal RNA". It matches the Rfam family "Bacterial small subunit ribosomal RNA", at positions 28 to 507 of the family's 1533-position model. The record is from RNAcentral.
GAUGAACGCUGGCGGCGUGCUUAACACAUGCAAGUCGAACGGUGAAGGCGGAGCUUGCUCUGCUGGAUCAGUGGCGAACGGGUGAGUAACACGUGAGCAAUCUGCCCCUGACUAUGGGAUAAGAGUUGGAAACGGCGUCUAAUACUGGAUACGAGCUGCGAAGGCAUCUUCAGCAGCUGGAAAGAAUUUCGGUCAGGGAUGAGCUCGCGGUCGAUCAGCUUGUUGGUGAGGUAAUGGCUCACCAAGGCGUCGACGGGUAGCCGGCCUGAGAGGGUGACCGGCCACACUGGGACUGAGACACGUCCCAGACUCCUACGGGAGGCAGCAGUGGGGAAUAUUGCACAAUGGGCGAAAGCCUGAUGCAGCAACGCCGCGUGAGGGACGACGGCCUUCGGGUUGUAAACCUCUUUUAGCAGGGAAGAAGCGAAAGUGACGGUACCUGCAGAAAAAGCGCCGGCUAACUACGUG